RNAcentral lists this ribosomal RNA (193 nucleotides) under uncultured bacterium. Its description in RNAcentral is "partial 16S ribosomal RNA". It matches the Rfam family "Bacterial small subunit ribosomal RNA", at positions 579 to 772 of the family's 1533-position model. The record is from RNAcentral.
CCGCGUAUGCGGUGGGUCCAAUCCCUGGGCUCAACCCCGGUCCGCCCCCCGCACCCCGCGGCUCGGGUCCGGUAGGGGAGGGUGGAACACCCGGUGUAGCGGUGGAAUGCGCAGAUAUCGGGUGGAACACCGGUGGCGAAGGCGGCCCUCUGGGCCGAGACCGACGCUGAGGCGCGAAAGCUGGGGGAGCGAA